ACCCCGGGAGGGGAGUGAAAUAGUACCUGAAACCGUCUGCUUACAAACCGUUGGAGCCUCCUUAGUAGGGGUGACAGCGUGCCUUUUGAAGAAUGAGCCUGCGAGUUAGUGCUCAGUGGCGAGGUUAACCCGAGUGGGGAAGCCGUAGCGAAAGCGAGUCUUAAUAGGGCGUUUUAGUCGCUGGGUCUAGACCCGAAGCGAAGUGAUCUAUCCAUGGCCAGGUUGAAGCGACGGUAAGACGUCGUGGAGGACCGAACCCACUUCAGUUGAAAAUGGAGGGGAUGAGCUGUGGAUAGGGGUGAAAGGCCAAUCAAACUUCGUGAUAGCUGGUUCUCUCCGAAAUGCAUUUAGGUGCAGCGUUGCGUGUUUCUUGCCGGAGGUAGAGCUACUGGAUAGCUGAUGGGCCCUAAAAGGUUACUGACGUUAGCCAAACUCCGAAUGCCGGUAAGUGAGAGCGCAGCAGUGAGACGGUGGGGGAUAAGCUUCAUCGUCGAGAGGGAAACAACCCAGACUACCAACUAAGGUCCCCAAGCGUGUGCUAAGUGGGAAAGGAUGUGGAGUUGCACAGACAACCAGGAGGUUGGCUUAGAAGCAGCCACCCUUGAAAGAGUGCGUAAUAGCUCACUGGUCAAGUGAUUCCGCGCCGACAAUGUAGCGGGGCUCAAGCACACCGCCGAAGCCGUGGCAUUCACACAACAACCUGCAUUCGUGCCAGGUGUGUGGAUGGGUAGGGGAGCGUCGUGUGGGCAGUGAAGCGGCGGGGUGACCCAGUCGUGGAGCCCACACGAGUGAGAAUGCAGGCAUGAGUAGCGAAAGAAGGGUGAGAAACCCUUCCGCCGGAUGACCAAGGGUUCCUGGGGCAGGCUAAUCCGCCCAGGGUAAGUCGGGACCUAAGGCGAGGCCGACAGGCGUAGUCGAUGGACAACGGGUUGAUAUUCCCGUACCGGCGAAGAACCGCCCAUACCGAGCCCGGUGAUGCUCAGCACCUGAAGCCGUCUAGAUCCCUUCGGGGACGUGGCGGGGGAGCGUGCGAACCAAACCGGUAUUAGGUAAGCGUAUUAACAGGGGUGACGCAGGAAGGUAGCCCAGCGUGGCGAUGGUAGUCCACGUCCAAGGUCGUAGGGUGAGAGGUAGGCAAAUCCGCCUCUCGUGAGCCUGAGAACUGAUGGUGACCGCUUAUGCGGGAUGAUUGGGUGAUCCUAUGCUGCCAAGAAAAGCCUCGACGCGAGGUUCUAGCCGCCCGUACCCUAAACCGACUCAGGUGGUCAGGUAGAGAAUACUAAGGCGAUCGAGAGAAUCAUGGUUAAGGAACUCGGCAAAAUGCCCCCGUAACUUCGGGAGAAGGGGGGCCUGAGGCGUGUACCCACUUGCUGGGGAAGCGUUCGAAGGCCGCAGAGACCAGGGAGAAGCGACUGUUUACUAAAAACACAGGUCCGUGCGAAGUCGCAAGACGAUGUAUACGGACUGACGCCUGCCCGGUGCUGGAAGGUUAAGAGGAAGGGUUAGCUCUCGGGCGAAGCUCAGAAUUGAAGCCCCAGUAAACGGCGGCCGUAACUAUAACGGUCCUAAGGUAGCGAAAUUCCUUGUCGGGUAAGUUCCGACCUGCACGAAUGGCGUAACGACUUCUCGACUGUCUCAACCAUAGGCUCGGCGAAAUUGCACUACGAGUAAAGAUGCUCGUUACGCGCGGCAGGACGGAAAGACCCCGGGACCUUUACUACAGCUUGAUAUUGGUGUUCGGUUCGGCUUGUGUAGGAUAGGUGGGAGACCGUGAAGCUCACACGCCAGUGUGGGUGGAGUCAACGUUGAAAUACCACUCUGGUCGAAUUGGAUGUCUAACCUCGGUCCGUGAUCCGGAUCAGGGACAGUGUCAGGUGGGUAGUUUAACUGGGGCGGUUGCCUCCCAAAAUGUAACGGAGGCGCCCAAAGGUUCCCUCAGCCUGGUUGGCAAUCAGGUGUCGAGUGCAAGUGCACAAGGGAGCUUGACUGUGAGACAGACAUGUCGAGCAGGGACGAAAGUCGGGACUAGUGAUCCGGCACUGGCUUGUGGAAGCGGUGUCGCUCAACGGAUAAAAGGUACCCCGGGGAUAACAGGCUGAUCUUGCCCAAGAGUCCAUAUCGACGGCAAGGUUUGGCACCUCGAUGUCGGCUCGUCACAUCCUGGGGCUGGAGUAGGUCCCAAGGGUUGGGCUGUUCGCCCAUUAAAGUGGCACGCGAGCUGGGUUUAGAACGUCGUGAGACAGUUCGGUCCCUAUCCGCCGCGCGCGCAGGAGACUUGAGAAGAGCUGUCCCUAGUACGAGAGGACCGGGACGGACGAACCUCUGGUGUGACAGUUGUCGUGCCAACGGCACUGCUGUUUAGCUACGUUCGGCAGGGAUAACCGCUGAAAGCAUCUAAGCGGGAAGCUCGCUUCAAGAUGAGGUCUCCCACAGGGUUAACCUGGUAAGGCCCCCCACCAGACCAUGGGGUUGA
RNAcentral lists this ribosomal RNA (2473 nucleotides) under metagenomes. RNAcentral's name for it is "bacterial LSU rRNA". It matches the Rfam family "Bacterial large subunit ribosomal RNA", at positions 523 to 2856 of the family's 2925-position model. The record is from RNAcentral.